AACACGUAGGUAACCUGCCCCUUAGACUGGGAUAACUCCGGGAAACCGGAGCUAAUACGGGAUAAUAAAGAGAAUCACCUGAUUCUCUUUUGAAAGACGGUUUCGGCUGUCACUAAGGGAUGGGCCUGCGGCGCAUUAGCUAGUUGGUAAGGUAACGGCUUACCAAGGCGACGAUGCGUAGCCGACCUGAGAGGGUGAUCGGCCACACUGGGACUGAGACACGGCCCAGACUCCUACGGGAGGCAGCAGUAGGGAAUCUUCCGCAAUGGACGAAAGUCUGACGGAGCAACGCCGCGUGAGUGAGGAAGGCCUUCGGGUCGUAAAGCUCUGUUGUGAGGGAAGAACAAGUACCGGCGUAACUACCGGUACCUUGACGGUACCUCACCAGAAAGCCACGGAUAACUACGUGCCAGCAG
Molecule: ribosomal RNA, 416 nt
Filed under: Shouchella hunanensis
Lineage: Bacteria; Bacillati; Bacillota; Bacilli; Caryophanales; Bacillaceae
Description: bacterial SSU rRNA
Rfam family: Bacterial small subunit ribosomal RNA
Source: RNAcentral